GGGUAGGUAGCGAAGUGGUUAAACGCGACAGACUGUAAAUCUGUUUGGCUCAGCCAUACGGAGGUUCGAAUCCUUCCCUGCCCA
RNAcentral lists this transfer RNA (84 nucleotides) under bacterium. RNAcentral's name for it is "tRNA-Tyr". It matches the Rfam family "tRNA". From Rfam's summary of the family: Transfer RNA (tRNA) molecules are approximately 80 nucleotides in length. Their secondary structure includes four short double-helical elements and three loops (D, anti-codon, and T loops). RNAcentral also lists the same sequence under 3 other names. The record is from RNAcentral.